CCUACGGGUGGCAGCAGUGAGGAAUAUUGGUCAAUGGGCGAGAGGCUGAACCAGCCAAGUCGCGUGAGGGAAGAAUGUCCUAUGGAUUGUAAACCUCUUUUGUCAGGGAGCAAAGUCACCCACGUGUGGGUGUUGGAGAGUACCCGAAGAAAAAGCAUCGGAUAACUCCGGGCCAGCCGACGCGGUAAUAAGGAGGAUGCGAGCGUUAUCCGGAUUUAUUGGGUUUAAAGGGUGCGUAGGCGGGAUAUCAAGUCAGCGGUAAAAUCGUGGAGCUCAACUCCGUCCCGCCGUUGAAAAUGGUGAUCUUGAGUGGGCGAGAAGUAUGCGGAAUGCGUGGUGUAGCGGUGAAAUGCAUAGAUAUCACGCAGAACUCCGAUUGCGAAGGCAGCAUACCGGCGCCCAACUGACGCUGAAGCACGAAAGCGUGGGUAUCGAACAGGAUUAGAUACCCGAGUAGUC
This 459-nucleotide ribosomal RNA is filed under the name uncultured bacterium. Its description in RNAcentral is "partial 16S ribosomal RNA". It matches the Rfam family "Bacterial small subunit ribosomal RNA", at positions 338 to 795 of the family's 1533-position model. The record is from RNAcentral.